This is a long non-coding RNA of Papaver somniferum (opium poppy), 2400 nucleotides long. RefSeq lists it as uncharacterized. The transcript is spliced from 7 exons. Lineage: Eukaryota; Viridiplantae; Streptophyta; Magnoliopsida; Ranunculales; Papaveraceae. The record is from RefSeq and is a predicted model, not a curated record.
UCAUUUGAUUUAUUUUCUGAUUACAGAGAUCAAAUGGUAUUGCCGAAAGACUUGGUUAGAUGUAUGAGAUUUUCAUUCAAUUGAGCACUCACUUACGAUUGAUCUCAUAGGGGAAUCGCAGAAACAGCUUAUAAUUAGCAACAAUAGCACCAACAAGUUCAACUCACGUUUAGCAAGGAUGUGUAUGAUCCUUCAUUACAGUGGCCUCCUACCCAAAAUCAGGCUUGACCAGUUACAAGAUUGAAAGAAAUUCAAGAGAGCUAUCGAUGUGUUUCCACCCAAAAAAGGCGUCAGCAAAAGAAAAGAUGGUAUGGGUAAGAAAGAGAAUAGUAGUGGUGAUACGGAGGAGCUGGCAGUAAUGGUUGUGAACAUCAGAAGGUGACUACUAGUAUAUACAUCCCAAAGAUGGCAAGAUGAAAAAAGAAGUGGUGGAUUUGCAGCAAAGGCAAUCUGAGAAUGCAAGUGAUUUUUUUACCAAUUGUAUUUUCGAAUGUCUGCGUCACUGAUGUUCUUCAACUGGAGGUUAAGAGAAUGGUGGAAGCCAACGGAAUGCGAGUGUAGAAGGUUUCAUCUUAUUCUCAGUGCAUAAUAGAGAGUGUGUGUCAUGGACCUUUCCUUUGGAAUUCUUACGCCAGAAUUAUGAAGAAUUAUGAAGGAUUAUGUUGGCUGAAAGUAUGGAUUUGCUUAAACUACGUUACUUCCAUCCAGGUUUGGAAGAGUCGUUGAGUAACGCAACAUUCCCUACUGGUAAGAUGUAUCAGGCUUUAAUGCUCGAUCAACAGUUGCAGGAAGUGGACGGAAUUGGUGGUUAUAGUAAAUGGGUCUGGAAUCGAUGGUUACCUCUUUAAGUCCUUUCUAAUUUUGUACUACUGUUAUGACUCUCUCUAAAUGGUUCAGCAGUACUUAGGUAUACCUGUUCAACUCGAAAACACGUGCAGCGCACGUGCCCUUUACUAGUACACAUUACUGCCCCAAUUUUGGCUAUCUGGAAUAAAAAGCUGGAACAAAAAUUUCAUGUACUCAAAACCGGUAUAAUUUGAUUAGUUGGAAGAGAAUAUACCAGGUAUAUAUUAACCUUCGUUUGCUGGAGGUCGUGGUAGACGGAAACAAGGUGGGAAUUUAGACAUAAUUUCUAGCAACUGUUAACUGCAUCAUUUGUUCGCAAUCGCUUUGUUUUUUCUGGUCACUCACUCUUACUUCUAAAUUACUGGAUGUAUAUGUUUUGUGCAAGUGUGUCUUUUUUUUAUUGAUGAGUGUUGUGUGGUAUGCAUUGGUUGGUUAUCAUGCGAGGAGUGUUUUUCCCAACAGCUCUUUGGUAAGUCGAGUAGGGGCGGUAAUUCAUCUGUUUUGAUAUUAUUUGAUUAUGUUUAUUAAUAUAAUAGGGUGGUAACUCAUCCGUUUCGAUAUUACUUAGUAGGGCGGUAAUUUAUCCAUUUCGAUAUAUAUACUAUUAUAUUUGGGAGAUCCAGUCGUAUGCAUACCUCACUUGAUUGUUAUUUUGUGUGUUCGAUAAUACCAGAAUCAUGGCUUGGGUGGCUCUUCAUAAGGAUGAAUUGUGUUCUUUGUUUAUUUUUGUUUCAUCAUGUUCUCCUUGUUUCUCUCUUUUUUGUUCUAUUUUUCUCUUCUUGUUAUAUUGUGUUCUUCUUGUUUUAUAGAACACCUGUGAUUUUCCAUUUUCGAUAUAUAAACUCCCACUAGUCUGUACUCAUUAGUUACUUUUAGUGUCGGGUGAAAGUACUGCAGGUGAAGGAAAGGAAGCAGAAUACUAUGUAUGGAUUGACUGAGGACAUCCUAGUAGUUAGCUGGUGUUCAUUUUAAAUUUCCGUUUCUUGUAGCAUCCGUUUUGAGGUGAACGUUUACUCUUGCUGAUGCGUCAUCUUUGUAUCAUUUACAGACUCCAGCAACAACAACGUUCUGAAGAAUAACUCUAAUGGUGCCGUAACUGGUUCGUUACUUCAUUUAGGAAGCAACUCCGGAUGCACAACAUAGAGUUCUUGAGUGUCUCUGGAUCCACACCCUUGAUAGAGAUGAAACAAUUAUAUAGUUGGCACGAUAUAUCCAGAAGGAGCUGAAAGCUUGCCGUCCAUUCCAUGAAGACUUCAAGACAAGUAGUGGGGAGUGAAUCUAAGAAUUCUCAAGUAUUUUGGAGGUGCAGUGUGGUGAUGAUACGAUAACAAGUGAGAGCAAGGAAGAUUUGCAAUGUUUAAUUUAGAAAUCAUGAAAGUAAUCUAAAACAUAGAAAUCUGUAUAGUUGAACUUAUACAGUGUUUAAUUUGGAUCUGAUGGAAGCUUGCCAAAAUAUAGGUAUCUAGAAUAAUUGAAUUGUUCAUGCUUUGAAUGUUGUAUGAUUUUAGUAAGACUAGUUUUUUCAUUCUUGUAUAUGUAAAGUUUUGUUUAUAU